UACGGAGGGUGCAAGCGUUGUCCGGAAUCACUGGGCGUAAAGGGCGCGUAGGCGGCUCAUGAAGGCUGUGGUGAAAGUCCGGGGCUCAACCUCGGAUCGGCCGUGGCGACUCGUGGGCUGGAGCACUGUAGAGGCGGGUGGAAUUCCGGGUGUAGCGGUGGAAUGCGUAGAGAUCCGGAAGAACACCAGAGGCGAAGGCGGCGACCUGGACAAUUACUGACACUCAACUGCGAAAGCGUGGGGAGCAAACAGG
Molecule: ribosomal RNA, 253 nt
Filed under: uncultured bacterium
Lineage: Bacteria
Description: partial 16S ribosomal RNA
Rfam family: Bacterial small subunit ribosomal RNA
Source: RNAcentral